Molecule: ribosomal RNA, 464 nt
Filed under: Vreelandella stevensii
Lineage: Bacteria; Pseudomonadati; Pseudomonadota; Gammaproteobacteria; Oceanospirillales; Halomonadaceae
Description: partial 16S ribosomal RNA
Rfam family: Bacterial small subunit ribosomal RNA
Source: RNAcentral
CCUACGGUGGCUGCAGUGGGGAAUAUUGGACAAUGGGCGAAAGCUUGAUCCAGCCAUGCCGCGUGUGUGAAGAAGGCCUUCGGGUUGUAAAGCACUUUCAGUGGGGAAGAAAGCCUUGGGGCUAAUACCCUCGAGGAAGGACAUCACCCACAGAAGAAGCACCGGCUAACUCCGUGCCAGCAGCCGCGGUAAUACGGAGGGUGCGAGCGUUAAUCGGAAUUACUGGGCGUAAAGCGCGCGUAGGCGGUCUGAUAAGCCGGUUGUGAAAGCCCCGGGCUCAACCUGGGAACGGCAUCCGGAACUGUCAGGCUAGAGUGCAGGAGAGGAAGGUAGAAUUCCCGGUGUAGCGGUGAAAUGCGUAGAGAUCGGGAGGAAUACCAGUGGCGAAGGCGGCCUUCUGGACUGACACUGACGCUGAGGUGCGAAAGCGUGGGUAGCAAACAGGAUUAGAUACCCCGGUAGUC